UCGGGGGGAAACGUGCGGAGGGGCUCUGGCAGCCCGGGCCAGUCCAAGACGCGCAGCCACCCGAGCGCACGCGCUUGCAAGGCCACCGGCACCCAGGACUCCAGUGGGCGGCUGGGCGCCGGCGGUUUGCGGCCAGGUCAGCUCCCCGGCGCGCAAGGGGCGAGGGGAAGCUGGCGCCAGGAGCCUGAGGGUCCGGGAGCCCGGAGCGCCCAGAGACAGGCUCCUGCCAAGCUGCUCCGUUCCCUGGCACCCGGCUUGGUAAGGAACAGCAACUAGGUACUGGCCGCGGAAAACCAAGAUGCUGCAGUGGAUCCUUGGCCUCCAGAGCCCACUGCAGAGAAUAAGAUCUCUGGGCUGGCUGGCUCUAGACCAACAAGCAGGGCAACCAUGGAAAUGGUGUACGGGCACCUCAACAGGAGCCAUGGGCAGUUGGCCUCACUCUUUGACCUCAGUGACUCAGUGGUGGCAGCCAACAGAUCAAACCAGACACUAUACUAUGACAUGACCAGCAAUGCAAUCCUCACAUUCAUAUAUUUUGUGGUCUGCAUCAUUGGGUUGUGUGGCAACACACUUAUCAUUUAUUCAUUUUCCAUUAGGCCCAGAUGAAGACCAUCACCAACAUUUACAUCCUCAACCUGGCCAUUGCAGAUGAGCUCUUCAUGCUAGGGCUCCCCUUCUUGGCCAUGCAGGUGGCACUAGUCCACUGGCCCUUUGGCAAGGCCAUCUGCCAGGUGGUCAUGACUGUGGAUGGCAUCAAUCAGUUCACCAGCAUUUUCUGCUUGACAGUCAUGAGCACUGAUUGUUACCUGGCUGUGAUCCACCCUAUCAAGUCAGCCAAGUAGAGGAGGCCCCGGACAGCCAAGAUGAUCAAUGUGGCAGUGUGGGGAGUUUCUCUGCUGGUCAUCUUGCCUAUCAUGAUAUAUGCUGGGCUUUGCAGCAACCAGUGGGGAAGAAGCAGCUGCACCAUCAACUGUCCAGGUGAAUCUGGGGCAUGGUACACAGGGUUCAUUAUCUAUGCUUUCAUCUUAGGGUUCCUGGUACCCCUCACUAUCAUUUGUCUUUGCUACUUAUUCAUUAUCAUCAAAGUGAAGUCCUCUGGAAUCCGAGUGGGUUCCUCCAAGAGGAAGAAAUCUGAGAAGAAGGUCACUAGAAUGGUGUCCAUCGUGGUGGCUGUCUUCAUUUUCUGCUGGCUCCCUUUCUAUAUAUUCAAUGUCUCCUCCGUCUCUGUGGCCAUCAAUCCCACCCCAGCCCUUAAAGGCAUGUUUGACUUUGUGGUGGUCCUCACCUACGCUAACAGCUGUGCCAACCCCAUCCUUUAUGCCUUCUUAUCUGACAACUUCAAGAAGAUCUUCAAGAAUGUCCUGUUCUUGGUCAACUUGAGUGGCACAGAUGAUGGGGAAAGAAGUGACAGUAAGCAGGAUAAAUCCCGGCUGAAUGAGACCACGGAGACCCAGAGGACCCUCCUCAAUGGAGACCUCCAAACCAGUAUCUGAACUACCUGGAAAACAAAAGCACAAAGGAGCCACGCUCUGCCUCUGGCAAUUGGCUGUAUCCUCAGACCCUCUUCCUCCCACCCAUCAUUUCUAGAAUAAAGGGUUGCUCAGCAUGGCUCAAUUCAGAGACUAGGGUUUGAGCUGGUCUGACUGAAUGGUAAUGUACCACAUUGAUUACCUCCCCCUUAAGGUGACAGUUAAAUCCAGGCAGACAAUUCAGAGUCUGGGGAAGAGGAGAUCAUGCCUGGGUAUGAGCCUGAGAAAUGCUGAAGCUCAAAAACAAAACAAAACAAGCAAACAAACCCCUACAUAUGUAUUCGUGUGCUUGUGUGCUUAAAAACCAAUAUGUAAUCUUGUGUUCUGAUAUUUAUACUUGUAUUAUUUCUAUGUAUUCUUUGUAUAGUUGUUACCUUUGUUUUCUCCACCCACGUUUGCAAGGAGCAAGUGAACUGUACAUAGCAUACAUGGACAUUUACCACAAUACAGAACUGAAGAAAUGGACUUAGCAUGAAGCCAACAAAGUCUAAGCUUCACGGAUCCCUCCAGAAGUAUGGUCAUGUGCUUAUGACUUGUUAAAAAAAUUGUGAAAGUAAAAAAUUUUUGUAUUUUUUUCUCUUAGGAGGCCCCCUAAAUUGUAUAAACUUCCAGUCUCACAAAAUCCACCUCUGCCCUAGAGUAUUUGGGUCAUUAAAUUCAGGAAAGUUAGGUCAAGGUAAAGACAAGAUGGGAGAAGACACCUGAAGACCCCAAAUACAAAUUUAUGAGUUUCUUCUUCUUAGAUGCAAUCAGUUAUUCAUUUACCCAAAAAGACUUAAGUGGUUGUGGUCAACAAUCAUUGCAUUUAUCAAGAUAAAGCUGGCUUUGUUAUAAGACUGCAUUUUUCUUCUCAACUGGUUUGGGCUUCCUUAGGAAGUCACAGAGGGAAAAAUCACUAACCUGAAAGGAAAAAAAAGAAGAAAGAAAGAAAGACAAACUAGUAUGAUUCUUGUGUAGAAGCAACUUUUUUUUCUCCUUCCCACCAUGAAAAUAAUUAAGGAUGAAGCAAAAUUAUCCCUUCAUAAGAAACUAUGUAAAAGGUUUUUUCUUUUAAUGUUGGACAUGACUUUCUAAGCAAAGAAAAUGAAAAUGUAAUUCAACAACCCCUCAAAGAGUUUUUUAAAGAAUUUUAUACAAAAUUAGGCAUUAAGAAAAUCACAAUGCAUGUUAAAGAUCUGAGUACAUUAUUCAUAAAACAAAAACACUCACACCAGCCAAUAACUCUGCAGCAUGGAGGGAGGUUACAGGGUGAGUGUGUGUGUACUGAAAGUGGCCCCAUCUUGGGAGAUUACUACCCUGCCUUCUUCACUGACCGUAUACAUGUUAAGCAUUCCAGGUAUUCUAACUUUAAUGUGAUGGAUUCUCUGCGCUUCAUCUCCUCCUGCUCAGAACUUUUGUUCCCAGACUGUUAGACAGGUUUAUGUACAAGUGUUAAGAAGACACAAUGUCUCAUUUUGUGGACUGAUCACAGUUGCCAGGAUUAUGAAGAAAUAUACACCCAGUACUUGCAAGAUGCCACCAUCUCUGUGUUUAUAUGAAAGUAUGGCUCAUACCAUCUUGCAUAUAGACUAUACCAUAUUUACAAAUGAGCUUUUCCCUUCCGGUUCUCUAAGCAAGAGUUGUUUGAAAGUCAGAAUGACUCAGUGUUCCACCUGUGGCUUCCUUGUUAACACAUUGCUUUUAUUCCCUCUGCCUACACCAUUCACCUCAUUCCCCAAAGUACUUGAUUUAAGAAAUAUGUUCAAUAAGAUUUAUGGUAGACAAAUAAACCCAUGCAAAAAUAAAAAGAGGUACAAGUAUGAAACAAGACCAUAAGGAAAUUUGUUACAAGAAAAUUGCAUGUGCACAAUUGCAGGGACCAGGGUACUGUUGAUAGGAAAAACAUAGGAUGACAGCCCCAUUGAGCUUUAUUAAAUAUUAGUAGGCAGUUUUGACCUCUGCAGCCAGACUCUAGCAAUUAGAAAGGCAAAGGCAGCUAGACCUGAAGGAAUUAGACAAAAACAGCUAAACUCAAACAUUUAGGAUGACAAAGAACUCAGGCCAGGAAGAAAGAAUCUCAGACUUCCCGCUUCACUUAAUCCUUCAGCCUAAUGACCUGUCCCUGAAACCUCUUCCCAUAACCUUACCCUCCACCAAAGAACGGGGAAAGGUCACAGUGCUGGAAGAAACCCAAGGUUAAAAGGAAAGACAAGCCAGGAACUCAAUCAAAUUCCAAGAGCCUACCUGGGCCAAGGGUCUCAAUAAAAGGACCUGUAGACAAAUUCAUGAACAAUUCACUUUUGGAUUCUCCCUACUCAUUCUGAGUAGCUAUCUGCAAUCUCUCUUUUCCUCCUUUACCAUCUUCAAGUAAAUUGUCUUCUUGUAUUUUAAA
RNA transcript from Cavia porcellus (domestic guinea pig), 3900 nucleotides. It is a transcript of the gene named somatostatin receptor type 2-like, with no coding region annotated. The transcript is spliced from 2 exons. The record is from RefSeq and is a predicted model, not a curated record. Lineage: Eukaryota; Metazoa; Chordata; Mammalia; Rodentia; Caviidae.